GUGCGUACGGUCCCCGCUGAGGGGUGACGGCGCGUCCCCCUGGAGGAGGAACGGCUCUCCGUCAUCGAGAGGGACAACCGCCUGCUCCUGGAGAAGGUGGCCUCUGUCAUGAGGACCAGGGGACAGACUGACAGCAAAAACAACUCCAAGCACAGGAGUCUGCACAGGGGGAAGAGAGAACAGGAACUUCGCAGAGUGCGGAAGAAAACACGGCCAUUCUGGAAGGAAUCACACACUCAUAACCAUGGUAUGGAGCUCAAAGGUGGUGUGAAGACUGGGGCAGGGCUGAGAAGUCCCGGGUGCUGGUGCGGAAUCUCCCUGGAGACAGCAGAUAUGCCAAACAAAAAGCAGGAAGUGAAACUGGAAUUUAGCAAGCGCACAGCCAAGCCUGGACCCUAAAAGAGAAGUGAGGAAGGGUGAGGAUUCAGAACACAAAUCCAGAAAGAAGACACG
Molecule: small RNA, 453 nt
Filed under: Pan troglodytes (chimpanzee)
Lineage: Eukaryota; Metazoa; Chordata; Mammalia; Primates; Hominidae
Description: processed transcript
Source: RNAcentral